Non-coding RNA from Camellia sinensis, 354 nucleotides. The record is from RefSeq and is a predicted model, not a curated record. Lineage: Eukaryota; Viridiplantae; Streptophyta; Magnoliopsida; Ericales; Theaceae.
UAGAUUUUCUUUUCCUCUCUUCUUCUUCCCUCUUCCAUGUCCGAAACCCUAGCUCCCAAAACCUUGAUUUCCUCCACUUUUCUCAACAAAUCAACCAUGGAUCUUGCAUCAAGGAUGGAGAAUAAGAGGAGAUCACCACUUUCUACCGAAUGGAAUUUCGAAAUUUUUGAGGGCAUAACCUGAGAAGGACAAGCACUCCGUUAUAGCACUGUCCUGCGUUUGGAGGUUAGCCUCAACUUUUCAUGCUCGUCUUCCUUGUUAGCCUCUGUGUGCCCAAGCAUUUGGGUGAAGCCUACCCGUUUGGUGAAGUUUUGGCUUAGAUUCUGAUUGUCUAUAAUAUGUUGUAACUUCUAA